RNAcentral lists this long non-coding RNA (1843 nucleotides) under Homo sapiens (human). RNAcentral describes it as "non-protein coding lnc-YIF1A-6:4". Lineage: Eukaryota; Metazoa; Chordata; Mammalia; Primates; Hominidae. The record is from RNAcentral.
CUUGCAUUCUUGUGGGAGAGACAAAUGAAUAAUUAAUGCCAAGGAGUGGGAAAUAUGAGUAAGAAAAAAAAAAAAGAGGGGUUGGAGAAGGGAAGGCCUCCUGAGGUGACAUUUCAGCCAAGACCUGAAUGAUGGAGCAAGCCACACGGGCCUGAGGGCAGCAGCAGGAUGGACAGGACCAAAGGUCCGUGCAAAGGCCCUGAGGCUGAGUGGUGUUUGAGGAAUGUUGAGAGGCCAGUGAGGAGGGGAAGCGUAAGAGGAAUUAAGAUCCAGCAGCUCCUGGGAGAUCAGACCAUGUGGGCCCCUCACAGGUAAGGCUUCAGCUUACACACCUAGGUAGGUGGGACACUCUGCACAGUUUGGAUCAGCAAUCCAACACGAUCUGCUCAGCUCUGAAAAAUCUCUGGCUAUUGAGUGGAGAACAGGCUACAGGGAGAAGAGGGUGGGAGCAGGGAUAAUUAGGAGCCUAUUGCAAUAUCCAGACAAGAGAUAAUCGCAGUAGAGGAAGGGGCAAGGCACUGUCAGGAUAAGCCUGGAGGAUUUGCUCAUGGAUUAGAUGGUGGGUACAAGAGAAACAGGAAUCGAGGAGGAUUCCCCAGUUUUCGGCCUCGGAACUGAAGAACCGAGUUUGCAUUUACUAGGAGGGAAGUCUCCCCAGGGGAGCACAUUUCACACCAUGGGGCCGAGUGAGCUCCCUUUAGGGCUGAGUGUGGGGAGAGAGGAGGCUAUAUUAGAGGCUGGAGCCCCGAGUCCUCCAGGGUUUUGAGGCUGGGAAGCUGAGGACACCAUAGCAAGGGAGGCCAAAAAGGAGAGGCCAGGGAGGUGAGAGGAGAGCACAGAGCUGUCCACAGGCCAGGUGGAAAGACUCAAGCGGGUGAUUAUUUGCAUCCAAUGCUACUGAUAGGACUGGGCAACCCAGGUCACUGGCAACUGUGGAAAGGAAACUUUUGGUGGGAUUGUGAGGAAAAAACUGGAAGGGAGUGGGCAGAAGUGGAGACGGGGAACACACACAGCUCUUUGGAAGAGUUUUGCUCUAAGGGGAGCAGAGACAAGGCAUGGCAGCUGAAGAGAAUCUGGAAGUCUCUGGUCUUUGAUAUUGAGCUAUACCCACUUGGGAUGCAUGUAAGUGGGUGGAAAGUCCUGGCAGAGGGGAGAACCCGCAGUGCAGGAGAGAGGGCGACUGUAGGAGAAAAGCCCUCAAGGAGUGAAGAGGGAUGGGCCCCGAGGAUGGGAGCAGGGUGGGGCAUUUAUUGCCACAGAAGGGGAGGCUGAGGAUAUGGUGUCAGAUGCAGACGGGCUGAGAGUUCACCCUUCACCCUCUCUCCUAGCUCUAAGCCAGAACCUAAGGGGGCCAGAAGCUGGGAUCCAAGUCUACUUGUCCCACCCCCUCCACUGGAACUCCCUGGCCCCCAGCUCUGCACAGCUCCUGCCCUGCAGCCCUCGCCUGGCUGUGCUCCGGGAAGUCCUCGUGGGCACUUCACCCUGCUCUGCAGCCACACUCACACCCUAGAUCCAGGUCACACUAGAGGCAAAGACCCCACUGGCUCGGACUUCACCAACCUGGAGCAGGGGAGAGAAGCUAAGUUCUGACCUUUGAUCAGAAGAUGGGGAAGCCACACUCAACACGUCACUGCCUUGGGAGGUGGAUUUGGGGAUGGUGGGUCCUGGGGAAAAACGGGCUUUUGGUGUGGAAAUGACAUCUUUCCUGUUUCCGACCUCUGCCUGCCUCAUGCCAGGUGAGACACCUUCAUGCCUGUUUCCAUGAUUGAGAACAUGGGAGUACGCUUCUUUCCACCUACGUUCCUGGUGGAUUUUCACUGGAGUUGGGCUGCACUGUGGAAAA